UGACAAAUAUGUAGUCUUUGGUAUGAUUCCUUUUUGAAUAUUUGAUUGUUUGGAUCCAAUUUUUUAUAGAUAGUUUUCUUCCUAGGUAUUUAAUAGGACAGUUUUUAGAUACAUAAUCUAAGGACCAAUUCCAGAAAUUAUUGGAUUACCUAAAAUACAAGAAGAAAUUUAAUGGACGAUUGAAUGUAAACCUAGGAGAUGAAUUUCACAAAUACACAACAAGAAUGUUUGCGUGGUAUUCUUCACAAUCGAGACAUAAAAGCAAAGAAUAAUUUAACAUGUGAGUUUUUUUUCAAAUAUAUUUAUGUAGUGUAGGUGGUUUGAUAUUUUUUAUGCAACAGUUAUAUUAAUUCAGAGUCGUUUUGGCUUUACAGCCACUAAACAUCUAUAGUUAGAAGAUAUUUUGUAAAAGACUCUACAUCUUUUUGUUCUUCUUCCAAAAUAAGUAGAGUUCUCCCACAGGAGGCAAUUUUUUGGUGGUCUCAUUUCCCAAGGUGUUAGUACAGCUUCUUCAAGGUACUAGAAAAAUCAAAUAUUCAAGAAAGAAUGUCAAUAACAACUCAAGAAUUAUUAUUAAUAUUAAUCUCUUUAUUGGAGUGACAAUACAAGGCUAUCGAAGAAGGUUCUUAUGCCUAAAUUACAAGUAAAUGUGAAAUUUUUGUUUUUUCAUUAGGCACUGCUACAAUAAUCAUUAGGUUGUAUGUAUGUAGGGAUUUUGGGGUAUCGACUUUAGGGUUGUGGACAAUUCCUUGAAAUGGGAGUUACAUAUUACCGCCUUAUCUAAAAAAUUCAAUUCCUCCUGAGAUCAGUUUCUACAGAACUUAACUUAUCCUCCUCGUUAACAGUUUAUUAUGCCCUUAUUGAAUUACAAAAGAGAGCUGUUAGAUAUUUACUCAGACUAAACAGCAAGGGCUACUUUAAAAGAUUAAAAAUUUUCAUUAUUGAAUCCGUUGUGUGCUCAAUACUGUACAAUGGGAAAAAAUGCACAAUCAUUUGCCAAUUGAAAUCAAAUCGAUAUCCUUUCCUGCAUUUCGAAAUAAUCUUAGGGCAUAUUUACUGGAAAGAGCCUUCUACUCUGCAGACGACUUCUAUUGUUAUUAUUACCUAUAAUUUUGUUAUUCAUUGUGGUUUUAUUCUGUAUUAUUUUUACGUUUGUUUUUUAGUUAUUAGCAACUUUUGUCCACAAAUUGUAACAAUUUUUUGACAAUAAAGUAUUUCUCUCUUAAUUUGAAA
This is a long non-coding RNA of Diorhabda carinulata, 1233 nucleotides long. RefSeq lists it as uncharacterized. The record is from RefSeq and is a predicted model, not a curated record. The transcript is spliced from 2 exons. NCBI's taxonomy places the organism in Eukaryota, Metazoa, Arthropoda, Insecta, Coleoptera, Chrysomelidae.